Molecule: long non-coding RNA, 521 nt
Filed under: Zostera marina
Lineage: Eukaryota; Viridiplantae; Streptophyta; Magnoliopsida; Alismatales; Zosteraceae
Description: long non-coding RNA (ZMAR_LNC005615)
Source: RNAcentral
AUGGAUUGAAUCACACCUUGAGUUAGACUAGCGGUCAGUUUUUUCUUUGAUGAUGGACUUGUACUGGUUCUGACGGCGAGAGUUCGCUUGUUGUUCUGAAGUGAGCUUGUUUUCGAGAAUCGUUCCCGGAGUGAUGUUGGAUUGUCUUCUUUCCGGAUCAGAUUUUGUAAGUACUCGUCCUUUUUUCGACUCAGAUUUUUCAAAGAACCAGCUGAACAAUCGUCGUCAGUGCCAGUAGUGGGUGCAGACAAAGAGAGCGGAGUUUUGGCUUUUUUCUUUUCCCUCUUCAGAGGCCAACGGAGAAGGGUCUUCAGACGACUUGUGGCGCUACUCAUGGAAGAGCUAGGUUUCUUUUUGGUCUCUCCUGUUUCUUCCGGUAGGAUAUUCAUAUCAUUUUUACCGAUACUUGAGCAUGAACUAGGUCUUCCGCUUCCGACAGCACUGCCGGUAGUACCGGUGCCGCCACUUCCUAUGUCUUUGCAAAUACCUUCGGAAGAGGUUGUAAUGCCUGUGUAUAAGAA